Molecule: long non-coding RNA, 292 nt
Organism: Rhagoletis pomonella (apple maggot)
Lineage: Eukaryota; Metazoa; Arthropoda; Insecta; Diptera; Tephritidae
Exons: 3
Source: RefSeq, a predicted model, not a curated record
GGCGCCUGUAACAUUGUGCAACCUCGGGGUGGGCGCUACAUUCGGUGAAUCCAUAUUGCAUGAUCUUCCCCGGGACAGCACUGUCGUCACAAAAACCACCUGCGAACUGCUUCGCGUGGAGCAACAGGAUUUUCGUCUCAUCUGGGAGAAGAAUAAAGAAUUAAUGAAUGAUAUAAUCACCAGCUGCAAAUUGAAGAAUGGAUUCGGUUCCGGUGUAUCACCAGUUGCGUCAUCGCCAACUAAACGCCCAUUAAGUCCAGACCAUCCGAAUCCCGCAUUACCAAUUACCGAG